GCAGAGGUCGGAGGAUCGCCGUGAGUUUGAGGCCACCCUGCGACUACAGAGUUAAUUCCAGGUCAGCAGAGAAACAAUGACUACAACCUGAUGUGGUGCUGUACAUCUGUAAUCUCAACUACCCAGGAGGAUGAGACAAGAGAAGCACUGGACCCCGGAAGUUCCAAGCCAGUUGGGGCAACUUUGUGAGACUGCUGUCUCAAAAGAGAGAAGGGUGGGGGAGAGGAGGGAGGGAGGGGAAAGAAUGGCAAUACCAAGCAAAAAUGUGAGUUCUUGGAUCUGAAUCAUGUAGCUGUGGGUAAGUUACUUAGCCCAUGCAUGACACCUUAUUGUAAAAUUGAGUUACUAGGUUAAUAACAGUACAUAAAUUACAGACAAUAAAGGGGGCUGGGCAUGGAGCUCAAUGCUUAGCAUGCCCUGUACUUCAAUACCAGAAAUUA
This is a long non-coding RNA of Jaculus jaculus (lesser Egyptian jerboa), 440 nucleotides long. RefSeq lists it as uncharacterized. The transcript has 2 exons. NCBI's taxonomy places the organism in Eukaryota, Metazoa, Chordata, Mammalia, Rodentia, Dipodidae. The record is from RefSeq and is a predicted model, not a curated record.